CAGAGAUGUUGCAGAUGGGCUAGAAAUGCUACAAAGGGAAAAUUGACAAAAGAUGCUGCAAAGGGGAAAUGUACAAGAGAUGCUGCAAGGAGGAAAUGGACAAGAGAUGCUGCAGAGGUGAAAUGGACAAAAGAUGCUGCAAAGAGGAAAUGGACAAGAGAUGCUGCAAAGGUAAAACAACUAGAGAUGCUGCAAAGGUAAAAUUGAUCAGAGAUGUUGCAAAGGGGAAAUGGGCAAGAAAUGCUACAAAGAGAAAAUGAACAAAAGAUGCUGCAAAGGGGAAAUAGAAAAGAGAUGCUGCAGAGAUGAAAAGGACAAGAGAUGCUGCAAAGGGGAAAUGGACAAGAGAUACUUCAGAAGUGAAAUGAACAAGAGAGGCUGCAAAAGUAAAAUUAAUCAGAGAUGUUGCAGAUGGGCUAGAAAUGCUACAAAGGGAAAAUGGACAAAAGAUGCUGUAAAGGGGAAAUGUACAAGAGAUGCUGCAGAGGUGAAAUGGACAAAAGAUGCUGCAAAGAGGAAAUGGACAAGAGAUGCUGCAGAGGUAAAACAACUAGAGAUGCUGCAAAGGUAAAAUUGAUCAGAGAUGUUGCAAAGGGGAAAUGGGCAAGAAAUGCUACAAAGAGAAAAUGGACAAAAGAUGCUGCAAAGGGGAAAUGGACAAGAAAUGCUGCAAAGGUGAAAUGGACUGGCCUUGGUCAUUCACUGGAUUUGUGUAAUAAGAAAGAGGAACCUGGGAUGAUACUAAUUUUGAGCUUGGGGUUACUGAGAGAAUGAUGAUGCCCUUGACAAUG
Molecule: long non-coding RNA, 791 nt
Filed under: Sarcophilus harrisii (Tasmanian devil)
Lineage: Eukaryota; Metazoa; Chordata; Mammalia; Dasyuromorphia; Dasyuridae
Description: lncRNA (ENSSHAG00000030825.1)
Source: RNAcentral